RNAcentral lists this ribosomal RNA (384 nucleotides) under uncultured bacterium. Its description in RNAcentral is "bacterial SSU rRNA". It matches the Rfam family "Bacterial small subunit ribosomal RNA", at positions 27 to 412 of the family's 1533-position model. The record is from RNAcentral.
GGACGAACGCUGGCGGCGUGCUUAACACAUGCAAGUCGAGCGGUAAGGCCCUUUCGGGGGUACACGAGCGGCGAACGGGUGAGUAACACGUGGGUGACCUGCCCUCAGCUCUGGGAUAAGCCUGGGAAACCGGGUCUAAUACUGGAUAUGACUCCAUGACGCAUGUUGUGGGGUGGAAAGCCUUGUGCGGCUGAGGAUGGGCCCGCGGCCUAUCAGCUUGUUGGUGGGGUGANGGCCUACCAAGGCGACGACGGGUAGCCGGCCUGAGAGGGCGACCGGCCACACUGGGACUGAGACACGGCCCAGACUCCUACGGGAGGCAGCAGUGGGGAAUCUUGCGCAAUGGGCGAAAGCCUGACGCAGCGACGCCGCGUGAGGGAUGAC